ACUCGCCACUCGCCACUCGCCUCCCGCCGCCGGGAAGUGACGCUCCACGCAGCCCAUUGGGCGCCGCCACAUCCCCCGGCCGCCCCUUCCGCCGCCCCAUUAAAGGGGCCCGAGGGCCCGCUGGAUGGGAAGGCCCGAGAGUGGGAUGCUACCCAAGGCCAGGUCUCCAAGACUCUCGCUUUGGUUCUUUUUGGCCUCUGAUCUUUUUUCAUAGGGUGGCUGGCUGUACAGAGGGAGUGCUACUGGCCCAAGAGAGAAAAGUACAUUGCAGACAGGAAAAACCAGAAAGUUGUAGCCAUCUAAGUCCUCUGACCCCAGACAUGGAGCUAAAGGAUUGAGAUCUAGCUCGGCUGGGUUUCGAUUUUGCUACAGUCCAGUACAUUCGUUCCUCCAGUUUCAGAAUGGUAAUAUAUAUUCCAUACCACUG
This 427-nucleotide long non-coding RNA is filed under the name Mus pahari (shrew mouse). RNAcentral describes it as "lncRNA (MGP_PahariEiJ_G0003087.1)". Lineage: Eukaryota; Metazoa; Chordata; Mammalia; Rodentia; Muridae. The record is from RNAcentral.